GCUGGGCCCGGGCGGAGCCGAGGGCGGGGGAGGAGGGCGGAGCGGGGUGGGAGGCGCGGCGGCCGAGGGGCUGCAGAAAAGUUGCGGGGAUCGGAGCGACAGCAGCCGCGGAGCCGCGGGAGUGGGGAGCGCGCGGCGGGUGCAGAGCGGGCAGAGCGGGCGGCGCGCACCCGGGGCGGCAGGGAGCCCCAGACCCGUCUCCCGGGGAUGCGUGGGGCCCCGAGCCAGGUGCUGGCGCGCGGCCGGGCACAGCCUCCAGAUUUGGCUUGCAGAGCAGCGUGCCCCCCUUGAAGGGAAAUGCGGUUUGCAGCAGCCCUUGCCGGCCAAGAGUGGCCACGUGACAUGGAGCUGCCCUGUGGGAUGCGAGGGAUGGCCUGGGUCCGGGGCCCUAGAGGGCUGUGCAGGGCCUUCGGAGCGCGGAGUGGCCUGUGCGCUGUGCAGCUGACCAUAAGCACCUUUGAGUUCAUGGCGUUGGAAAGAAAGUGACAGUUUCGCUUCAAAGGGAAAAGGUGACCAAGCCAUCUGAUGCCGAUUUCGAGAUCUAUAUCCAGUCCAGCUAUCAGAAGAGACUCUAAGUCUGCCACCUUGUUUAUGCUGUACUACAGCUGCAGAUCUCUGUCUGCUGCGGAACACGUUCAGAACUCAAGUGAAAAAUACCUGGGAAAGAGCCUGUACUUCUGUAGCUUGCUUUCAACAACGCGAAAUAGAAAUGCCUGAUUCACAGUGGCUUUGACAACAGGGCCUGUUGUCUCUUACUGUGGGAAGCCAGAGGGAGGCAGUUCCAAGGCUGGUGAAUUCUGCAGCAGAACAAUAACACCUGGAGGCUUUCCUUGGCCUUUGCAUUCAAGCACACCAUGAUUCCCUCAUGGCCUCAGUGUGGCUGCACAGCCUCUGGACAUCACCAGCACACACAGCUCUAUCAGCAAGAGGGGACAUGGUUCUCAUGUGUCUCGUUUUAACCAUGGAAGAAAAUAUUUCCCGCAGUAUGAAAAUCACCCUAUAAAACCCCAUAAUUCUCUUUGUUAUCUUAUUUCAUAGUUUGUUGCCAGGGCAAUAAUGUUGUGAUCGACAUCUCUGUACUCCCACACAGAAUAAAUCCUUAUCAAAUAAAAUUUUAUUUUAUUUU
Molecule: long non-coding RNA, 1126 nt
Filed under: Vulpes vulpes (red fox)
Lineage: Eukaryota; Metazoa; Chordata; Mammalia; Carnivora; Canidae
Description: lncRNA (ENSVVUG00000025817.1)
Source: RNAcentral